UAGGGAAUCUUCGGCAAUGGACGGAAGUCUGACCGAGCAACGCCGCGUGAGUGAAGAAUUUUUUCGGAUCGUAAAGCUCUGUUGUUAGAGAAUAACGUUGUUAUGAGUUGAAAAUCUACCAAGUUACGGUAACUAACCAGAAAGGGACUGCUAACUACGUUCCAUCCGCCUCGGUAAUACGUAGGUCCCGAUCGUUGUCCGGAUUUAUUGGGCGUAAAGCGAGCGCAGGCGGUUCUUUAAGUCUGAAGUUAAAGGCAGUGGCUUAACCAUUGUACGCUUUGGAAACUGGAGGACUUGAGUGCAGAAGGGGAGAGUGGAAUUCCAUGUGUAGAGGUGAAAUGCGUAGAUAUAUGGAGGAACACCGGUGGCGAAAGCGGCUCUCUGGUCUGUAACUGACGCUGAGGCUAGAAAGCGUGGGGAGCAAACAGG
Molecule: ribosomal RNA, 429 nt
Filed under: Bacillota bacterium
Lineage: Bacteria; Bacillati; Bacillota
Description: Firmicutes bacterium partial 16S ribosomal RNA
Rfam family: Bacterial small subunit ribosomal RNA
Source: RNAcentral